This 104-nucleotide ribosomal RNA is filed under the name uncultured bacterium. RNAcentral's name for it is "partial 16S ribosomal RNA". It matches the Rfam family "Bacterial small subunit ribosomal RNA", at positions 1379 to 1482 of the family's 1533-position model. The record is from RNAcentral.
CUUGGUACACACCGCCCGUCACACCAUGGGAGCGGGUUCUGCCAGAAGUAGUUAGCCUAACCGCAAGGAGGGCGAUUACCACGGCAGGGUUCGUGACUGGGGUG